This 1190-nucleotide long non-coding RNA is filed under the name Chloebia gouldiae (Gouldian finch). RNAcentral describes it as "Erythrura gouldiae (Gouldian finch) lncRNA (ENSEGOG00005018757.1)". The record is from RNAcentral. Lineage: Eukaryota; Metazoa; Chordata; Aves; Passeriformes; Passeridae.
UGGGGGUUUUCUGGGUGUUUCAAGGGUUUUUGUGGGGUUUUGUGGGUUUUUGUGGGGUUUUAUGUGGUUUUAUGGGGUUUUUGUGGGGUUUUUGUGGGUUUUUAUGGGUUUUUAUGGGGUUUUAUGAGGUUUUUGUGGGGUUUUUGUGGGGUUUUGUGCUGUUUUUAUGUAGUUUUGUGGGGUUUUACGAGGUUUUGUCUGGGUUUUUGUGGGUUUUUAUGGGGUUUGUGGUUUUUUUGUGUGUUUUCAUGGGGUUUUGUGCCGUUUUUGUGUUCUUUAAUGAGUUUUUGUGCUGUUUUAUGCCUGUUUUAAGCGUUCCCUGUGCUCUCCGUGGGGUUUUACGCGAGGAUUUGAAGGUUUUUUUGUCGGGAUUUUUUUUGUGGCAAGCGAGAAAUUCGGGAAGAAACCUCGAGAGCUGCCGGGUCUCACCUUCAGCAUGGAGAUUUUCUCCUCCUCGCUGGAUUUCUGCUUCAUCACCGCGUCCAGCUGCUUCCGCAGCGACUCCACGUGGCUCUGGAGUUUGUUCUGAGGGAAGGAGGAGGAGCUCAGACCCCGCAGAGCCGCGGAAUUCUGCUCUCAAAAUCCCCCCCNNNNNNNNNNGUGGGGGUUUAUGGGGUUUUUGGGGGUUUUCUGGGUGUUUCAAGGGUUUUUGUGGGGUUUUGUGGGUUUUUGUGGGGUUUUAUGUGGUUUUAUGGGGUUUUUGUGGGGUUUUUGUGGGUUUUUAUGGGUUUUUAUGGGGUUUUAUGAGGUUUUUGUGGGGUUUUUGUGGGGUUUUGUGCUGUUUUUAUGUAGUUUUGUGGGGUUUUACGAGGUUUUGUCUGGGUUUUUGUGGGUUUUUAUGGGGUUUGUGGUUUUUUUGUGUGUUUUCAUGGGGUUUUGUGCCGUUUUUGUGUUCUUUAAUGAGUUUUUGUGCUGUUUUAUGCCUGUUUUAAGCGUUCCCUGUGCUCUCCGUGGGGUUUUACGCGAGGAUUUGAAGGUUUUUUUGUCGGGAUUUUUUUUGUGGCAAGCGAGAAAUUCGGGAAGAAACCUCGAGAGCUGCCGGGUCUCACCUUCAGCAUGGAGAUUUUCUCCUCCUCGCUGGAUUUCUGCUUCAUCACCGCGUCCAGCUGCUUCCGCAGCGACUCCACGUGGCUCUGGAGUUUGUUCUGAGGGAAGGAGGAGGAGCUCAGACCCCGCAGAGCCGCGGAAUU